This 464-nucleotide ribosomal RNA is filed under the name uncultured bacterium. Its description in RNAcentral is "partial 16S ribosomal RNA". It matches the Rfam family "Bacterial small subunit ribosomal RNA", at positions 29 to 507 of the family's 1533-position model. The record is from RNAcentral.
ACGAACGCUGGCGGCGUGCUUAACACAUGCAAGUCGAACGGUAAGGCCCCUUCGGGGGUACCCGAGUGGCGAACGGAUGAGUAACACGUGAGCAACCUGCCCUUGACUCUGGAAUAACAGUUGGAAACAGCUGCUAAUACUGGAUAUUCAUCGUCUCCUUCCUGGGGGGUGGUGGAAAGCUCCGGCGGUCAGGGAUGGGCUCGCGGCCUAUCAGCUUGUUGGUGAGGUAAUGGCUCACCAAGGCUUCGACGGGUAGCCGGCCUGAGAGGGCGACCGGCCACACUGGGACUGAGAUACGGCCCAGACUCCUACGGGAGGCAGCAGUGGGGAAUAUUGCACAAUGGGCGCAAGCCUGAUGCAGCAACGCCGCGUGCGGGAUGACGGCCUUCGGGUUGUAAACCGCUUUCAGUAGGGACGAAGGGUGACUGACGGUACCUACAGAAGAAGGACCGGCUAACUACGUG